UACGUAGGGGGCAAGCGUUGUCCGGAAUUAUUGGGCGUAAAGAGCGCGUAGGCGGUCCGGUAAGUCGGCUGUGAAAGUCAAGGGCUCAACCCUUGAACGCCGGCCGAUACUGUCGGACUAGAGUCCGGAAGAGGCGAGUGGAACUCCUGGUGUAGCGGUGGAAUGCGCAGAUAUCAGGAAGAACACCGACGGCGAAGGCAGCUCGCUGGGACGGUACUGACGCUGAGGCGCGAAAGCGUGGGGAGCAAACAGG
RNAcentral lists this ribosomal RNA (253 nucleotides) under uncultured bacterium. RNAcentral describes it as "partial 16S ribosomal RNA". It matches the Rfam family "Bacterial small subunit ribosomal RNA", at positions 524 to 776 of the family's 1533-position model. The record is from RNAcentral.